AUACGGAGGGGGCUAGCGUUGUUCGGAAUUACUGGGCGUAAAGCGCACGUAGGCGGAUUAAAAAGUUAGAGGUGAAAUCCCAGGGCUUAACCCUGGAACUGCCUUUAAAACUAGUAGUCUAGAGUUCGAGAGAGGUGAGUGGAAUUCCAAGGGUUGAGGUGAAAUUCGUAGAUAUUUGGAGGAACACCAGUGGCGAAGGCGGCUCACUGGCUCGAUACUGACGCUGAGGUGCGAAAGCGUGGGGAGCAAACAGGAUUAGAAACCCCAGUAGUCC
This 274-nucleotide ribosomal RNA is filed under the name uncultured bacterium. Its description in RNAcentral is "partial 16S ribosomal RNA". It matches the Rfam family "Bacterial small subunit ribosomal RNA", at positions 523 to 796 of the family's 1533-position model. The record is from RNAcentral.